GACGAACGCUGGCGGCGUGCUUAACACAUGCAAGUCGAACGGAAAGGCCCUGCUUUUGUGGGGUGCUCGAGUGGCGAACGGGUGAGAAACACGUGAGUAACCUGCCCUUGACUUGGGGAUAACUGCAGGAAACUGGGGCUAAUACCGGAUAGGAGCUGCUGCUGCAGGGGGGGGGUUGGAAAGCUUGGGCGGUUGGGGCUGGACUCGCGGCUUAUCAGCUUGUGGGUGGGGUAGUGGCUUACCAAGGCUUUGACGGGUCGGCCGCCUGAGAGGGUGACCGGCCACCUUGGGCCUGCGAUACGGCCCAGACUCCAACGGUGGGCAGCAGUGGGGAAUCUUGCCCAAUGGUCGCACGCGUGAUGCAGCAGCGCCGCGUGCGGAAUGCCGGCCUUCGGGUUGUAAACCGCUUUCGCCUGUGACGAAGCGUGAGUGACGGUACUGGGUGAAGAAGCACCGGCUAACUACGUG
RNAcentral lists this ribosomal RNA (468 nucleotides) under uncultured bacterium. RNAcentral's name for it is "partial 16S ribosomal RNA". It matches the Rfam family "Bacterial small subunit ribosomal RNA", at positions 28 to 507 of the family's 1533-position model. The record is from RNAcentral.